CUACGGGAGGCAGCAGUGGGGAAUUUUCCGCAAUGGGCGAAAGCCUGACGGAGCAAUACCGCGUGAGGGAAGACUGCCUAUGGGUUGUAAACCUCUUUUUUCAGGGAGGAAUAAAUGACGUGUACCUGAAGAAUAAGCAUCGGCUAACUCCGUGCCAGCAGCCGCGGUAAGACGGAGGAUGCAAGUGUUAUCCGGAAUCACUGGGCGUAAAGCGUCUGUAGGUGGUUUAAUAAGUCAACUGUUAAAUCUUGAGGCUCAACUUCAAAAUCGCAGUCGAAACUAUUAGACUAGAGUAUAGUAGAGGUAAAGGGAAUUUCCAGUGGAGCGGUGAAAUGCGUAGAUAUUGGAAAGAACACCGAUGGCGAAAGCACUUUACUGGGCUAUUACUAACACUCAGAGACGAAAGCUAGGGUAGCAAAUGGGAUUAGAUACCCCAGUAGUCCUAGCCGUAAACAAUGGAUACUAGAUGUUGAACAGAUCGACCUGUGCAGUAUCAAAGCUAACGCGUUAAGUAUCCCGCCUGGGAAGUAUGCUCGCAAGAGUGAAACUCAAAG
This 554-nucleotide ribosomal RNA is filed under the name uncultured bacterium. RNAcentral describes it as "bacterial SSU rRNA". It matches the Rfam family "Bacterial small subunit ribosomal RNA", at positions 339 to 906 of the family's 1533-position model. The record is from RNAcentral.